RNAcentral lists this long non-coding RNA (1628 nucleotides) under Octopus vulgaris (common octopus). Lineage: Eukaryota; Metazoa; Mollusca; Cephalopoda; Octopoda; Octopodidae. The record is from RNAcentral.
AUAUAUAUGUGUGUGUAUGUGUGUAUAUAUAUAUAUGUGUGUGUGUAUAGAGAUACACAUAUAUACACAUACACACUCACCCUCAGCCCCCUACAUACAUGCAUAUACACAUUGCACACAUACAUAAGUAUACACAUACAAACAUAUACAAGGUUCCAUGAAUACAUUACAUAUAUACAUACAUAUAUAUAUACACAUAUACAUACGAAGGAAAAAAGAAUUUGACUUUUUUUUAAAAAAAGCUUUUCGUUAAAGAAAACAUGUUUCUCAGUUUAUUUUUUCUCAUAAAACUGGUUUUUUGUCUUUAAAUGAAUAAAUAAAUGCAACUUACCUGGAGAGGCUGUGAAUGUGUGUGUGAGUGUGUGUGUGUGUGUGUGUGUGUGUGUGAACCUCUAUGUGUGUAUGUAAGCAUGUGUAUGUGAGUGUGUGUGUGUGCAAGUGGUAGUAUGUGUGAGUGUAAACCUCUGUAUGUGUGUAUGUAAGCAUGUGUGUGUGUGUAUGUGUACAAGUGGUAGUAUGUGUGAGUGUAAACCUCUGUAUAUGUGUAUGUAAGCAUGUGCGUGUGUGUAUGUGUACAAGUGGUAGUAUGUGUGAGUGUAAACCUCUGUAUGUGUGUAUGUAAGCAUGUGUGUGUAUGAAUAUGUGUACAAGUGGUAGUAUGUGUGAGUGUAAACCUCUGUAUAUGUGUAUGUAAGCAUGUGCGUGUGUGUAUGUGUACAAGUGGUAGUAUGUGUGAGUGUAAACCUCUGUAUGUGUAUAAGUAAGCAUGUGUGUGUGAGUGUGUGUGCAAGUGGUAGUAUGUGUGAGUGUAAAUCUCUGUAUGUGAGUAUGUAAGCAUGUGUGUGUAUGAGAAAGGUGUAUAAGUGGUAGUGUGUGUGAGUGUAAACCUCUGUAUGUGUGUAUGUGUGUGAGUGUAAACUUCUAUAUGUGUGUAUAUAAACAUGUGUGGGUAUGUGUGUGUGUGUGUGUGUAGUUCUCCGUCCUCUCUCUGUUAUAGUUUUUGAAAGAAAAAACUCAAAAUAUUUCCAGAAAUAUGAAAAUAUUACACUUUAUACAACCUGGAGUAAUUGAUUGAUAUUGAUAAGUAAAUGACACUGAUUAAAGGUGUUACCUACAGAUCUAUUUAAUUAAAGGUGUUAUAUUAUACAGUACUGUAUAUCUAUAUAUCUAAACCUACUAAUCUAUUUAAAUAUAUUACCUGCACUAUUAUGCAAUUAAUAGUACUACCAUUUAAUUAAAGAUAUUACAUAUCUUGUUGUGUGUUGGGGGGUGAGGUGGGGUCAUUGCACCAAUAAUAAUAAACACACACAUUGUUUCAAUAUCACUUGUUUAUUGCUGACCAACUGCUUAAAUAUCUAACCAAAUAAUUAAUUGUUUGUUUAAUAUGUCGGUUAAACGGCGGUGAGCUGGCAGAAUCGUUAGCGCACCGGGCGAAAUGCUUAGCGGUAUUUCGUUUGCCGCUACAUUCUAAGUCCAAAUUCCACCGAGGUUGACUUUACCUUUCAUUCUUUCGGGGGGUCGAUUAAAUAAGUACCAGUUAUGCACUGGGGCCGAUGUAAUCGACUUAACCCCUUUGUCUGUCCUUGUUUGUCCCCUCUGCGUUUAGCCCCUUGUGGGCAGUAAAGAAA